This 1642-nucleotide long non-coding RNA is filed under the name Coturnix japonica (Japanese quail). RNAcentral describes it as "lncRNA (ENSCJPG00005000580.1)". Lineage: Eukaryota; Metazoa; Chordata; Aves; Galliformes; Phasianidae. The record is from RNAcentral.
GGGGGCAAUGGGGGUAUUGGGGUCAAUGGGGGCUAUGGGGUCAAUGGGGGUAUUGGGGUCAAUGGGGGUAAUGGGGGCUAUGGGGUCAAUGGGGGAAUUGGGGGCAUUAGGGUCAAUGGGAUCAACAGCGUCAUUGUGACCAAUUGUGAAUCAAUGGGGUCAAUGGGAUCAAUGGGAGAAUUAGAGGCAAUAGGAUCAAUGGGGUCAAUGGGAUCAAUGGGAUCAUUAUGGUCAAUGGGGUCAAUGGGGUCAAUUGGGUCAAUGGGAUCAACGGGGACAAGGGGAUCAAAAGGCUCAAUGGGGUCAUUGGGGUCAAUAAGGCCAAUGGGAUCAAUGGAAACAAUGGGAUCAUCAUGGUCAAUGGGGUCAAUGGGAUCAAUGGGAUCAAUGUGAUCAAUGGAAUCAAUGGGGACAAUGGGAUCAAUGGGGUCAAUGGGAUCAAUGGGGUCAGUGGGGUCAACGGGAUCAAUGGAAUCAAUAGGGAUCAAUGGGGUCAAUGGGAUCAAUGGGGUCAAUGGAAUCAAUGGGAUCAAUGGGAUCAAUGGAAUCAAUGGAAUCAAUGGGAGUCAAUGGAAUCAAUGGGGCUCAAUGGGGCUCAAUGAAGCCCCCCCCCCCCCAUUACCUCCUGUAGCCCCCCAGGCCGUUCUCACUCCGUCCAUUGCUUUCAGUGGAGGGGGGGGGUCCACAUCUCCAUCAUGGGGGGGUCCCGACAGCCGCCCCCCCCCCUCCCCCCCCCCCCCCCCCCCCCCCCCCCCCGCCGCCAUUUUACCGCUGCGCUGCGCUCCGGGGGGGGGCGGGGCCGCGCGGGGGAUGCCGGGGAAAGGGGGCGGGGCUUCAUCUCCCAGCCGCCAUGUUGAUACCAUAUAUGGUAACGUGACCACGCCCUCUUUCCUUAUAUGGAGCGACAUGGGCGUGGUUUGCAUCUCAUUAUAUUUAGCCACGCCCCCUUGCGCUCUGAGCGCAGCCGUUGGUGGAGAAGAGUAGCCGGAAGUCCCGCCCACAAAGCCGGAUGUGGGAGACCGGAAGUGCUGCACAAAAGCGGAUAUCCGGUCUUCUGGGUGCCUCGAACCGGAAGUCCCGAGUUUUUGAGUGGAAAAACCGAAAAUCAGGCCCGGUUCGGUUCCAUCCAACCGGAACUAAGCCCUCAUAGGAGCAUAUAGAACCGGAAGUCUCCUUUGUGUGUGUUCCCCCCCCUCCGAGCUUCCGUUGUAGAUUGGCCCGCGAACCGGAAGUCCCACCCCCUGGAUUACCCGGAACCGGAAGUCUCAUCUUUCAUUGGUGCCCGGACCAACCGGAAGUCCCGCCCCCCGCCCUUCUAUCCAGAACCGGAAGUCCCGCCUCCUCUUACCCAGCACCGGAAGUUCCCAUGCACCCCCACUUCCUCCCCAAGACCGGAAGUCCCUCUCCCCAUUGAGCCAUCAAUUAUCUUCAAGACCGGAAGUCCCGCCCUCUUCUUAAUGUCCGCCAUCUUGUUUCCCCCCCUCCAACCCUGUUUAACAAUGGCGGCCAUCUUGUUCUCCAUCCACCCAACCAAUGGCGGCCAUCUUGUGCCCCCAUCCACCCAUAACCCCCCUAUAUAACGACCCUCCCCCAUUUAUGCCCCCCCAUAAGCCCCCCAAUUCAAGACCCCCCAUUAAACCCC